GCGUUGUCCGGAAUUAUUGGGCGUAAAGCGCGCGUAGGCGGGAUAGUCAGUCUGUUGUAAAAGUGCGGGGCUCAACCCCGUAAGGUCAAUGGAAACUGCUAUUCUUGAGUGCAGGAGAGGAAAGUGGAAUUCCCAGUGUAGCGGUGAAAUGCGUAGAUAUUGGGAGGAACACCAGUGGCGAAGGCGACUUUCUGGACUGUGUCUGACGCUGAGGCGCGAAAGCCAG
RNAcentral lists this ribosomal RNA (226 nucleotides) under uncultured bacterium. RNAcentral describes it as "partial 16S ribosomal RNA". It matches the Rfam family "Bacterial small subunit ribosomal RNA", at positions 538 to 763 of the family's 1533-position model. The record is from RNAcentral.